UACGUAGGUGGCAAGCGUUGUCCGGAUUUAUUGGGUUUAAAGGGUGCGUAGGCGGCUUUGUAAGUCAGUGGUGAAAUAUGGCAGCUCAACUGUCAGGGUGCCAUUGAUACUGCGGAGCUUGAGUACAGAUGUGGUAGGCGGAAUUGACGGUGUAGCGGUGAAAUGCUUAGAUAUCGUCAAGAACACCGAUAGCGAAGGCAGCUUACUGGGCUGUAACUGACGCUGAGGCACGAAAGUGUGGGGAUCAAACAGG
Molecule: ribosomal RNA, 253 nt
Filed under: uncultured bacterium
Lineage: Bacteria
Description: partial 16S ribosomal RNA
Rfam family: Bacterial small subunit ribosomal RNA
Source: RNAcentral